Molecule: long non-coding RNA, 1063 nt
Filed under: Homo sapiens (human)
Lineage: Eukaryota; Metazoa; Chordata; Mammalia; Primates; Hominidae
Description: novel transcript
Source: RNAcentral
UUCGAGCGCCGCUUCCUAGCGGCGCGCACACUGCGCUCCUUCCCCUGGCAGGUGGGCGGCGGGGCGAGCGGAGAGGCCUGCGGGGCUUGCGGAAGUCCAGGGGCAGACGGGAUGGGUCUCCCUGCUGAAACCCCCGGCGCUCCUGCCACGCCCUCCCAUCCAGGUUGCCCUACCAAGUGAAAUUUUUUUUAGAGACAAGGUCUCUUGCCCAGGCUGUCCUCGAACUCCUGGGCUCAAGCAGUCCUCCCGUGUCAGCCUCUAGAUUAGCUGGGACUAUUCGGCACACACCACCACACCCAACGAACACGAGGCUGUCCACACGGAGCUUUUGGACGAGCUGUACGAGGCGCUGGCAGAGACCCUGAUGGCCAAGGAGUCCACCCAGGGCCACUGGAGCUAUUUGCUGCCCUCGGAAGGCUCGGUCACACUCUCCGAGCACAGCCAUCAUCUCCCACGGUACCACAGGCCUGGUCACAUGGGACGCUGCCCGCUACCUUGCAGAAUGGGCCAUCAAGAACCUGGCAGCCUUCACUAACAGUAACCUGAAGCUUUCACCGUAGACGUGCUGUAUUGCCCAGAAGCCAUCGUGUCCCUGGUCGGGGUCCUGCGGAGGCUGGCUGCCUGCUGGGAGCACCAGCGGGCUCCUGAGGUCUACAUGGCCUUUACCGUCCGCAACCCAGAGACGUGCCAGGUGUUCACCACCGAGCUAGGCUGGGCUGGGAUCAGAUGGGAAGCGGAAGCUCAUCAUGACCAGAAACUGUUUCCCUAUGGAGAGCACUUGGAGAUGGCAAUGCUGAACCUCACACUGUAGGACUCAUACACGACUCCAACGGGAUUGUUAGAAUCAAAUCACUCUCGUGGGAAGAAUUUUUAUAUGGGAAAGCGGAUAAAACUUUCAUUGGACUGGAAUGUUUGGAGAAUGUUAAAUUCCAAAUCAGGAACCACAAUCUGCCCUCUAAUAAGACAUCGGCUAUCUAAGCAUGUGGGUGCCCCCUUUCUGCCAGCAGUUCUGGUUCUUAAGAAAAUCACCAUAAAUCAGACAUGAAAAUUCUGGCUCCAAAAA